ACUGACAGCCAUGGUUACCGCGGCUGCUGGCACGGAGUUAGCCGGUGCUUCUUCUGUGAGUGAUGUCCUUCCUGCCGGUUAUUGACCCGCAGGCCUUCUUCCUCACUGAAAGUGCUUUACAACCCGAAGGCCUUCUUCACACACGCGGCAUGGCUGGAUCAGGGUUGCCCCCAUUGUCCAAUAUUCCCCACUGCUGCCUCCCGUAGGAGUCUGGGCCGUGUCUCAGUCCCAGUGUGGCUGAUCAUCCUCUCAGACCAGCUACGGAUCGUCGCCUUGGUGAGCCGUUACCUCACCAACCAGCUAAUCCGACAUAGGCUCAUCCGAUAGCGCGAGGCCCGAAGGUCCCCCGCUUUCCCCCGUAGGGCGUAUGCGGUAUUAGCCUGGGUUCCCCCAGGUUAUCCCCCACUACCGGGCAGAUUCCUAUGCAUUACUCACCCGUCCGCCGCUCGCCACCAGGGAGCAAGCUCCCCGUGCUGCCGCUCG
Molecule: ribosomal RNA, 483 nt
Filed under: uncultured bacterium
Lineage: Bacteria
Description: partial 16S ribosomal RNA
Source: RNAcentral